RNAcentral lists this ribosomal RNA (585 nucleotides) under uncultured bacterium. RNAcentral's name for it is "partial 16S ribosomal RNA". It matches the Rfam family "Bacterial small subunit ribosomal RNA", at positions 355 to 937 of the family's 1533-position model. The record is from RNAcentral.
UGGGGAAUAUUGGACAAUGGGCGCAAGCCUGAUCCAGCAAUGCCGCGUGUGUGAAGAAGGCCUUCGGGUUGUAAAGCACUUUUAUCAGGAGCGAAACGCUGUCGGCUAAUACCCGGCGGAACUGACGGUACCUGAGGAAUAAGCACCGGCUAACUUCGUGCCAGCAGCCGCGGUAAUACGAAGGUGCAAGCGUUAAUCGGAAUUACUGGGCGUAAAGCGUGCGUAGGCGGUUUCUUAAGUCUGCUGUGAAAUCCCCGGGCUCAACCUGGGAAUGGCAGUGGAUACUGGGAGGCUAGAGUGUGUCAGAGGGUGGUGGAAUUCCCGGUGUAGCGGUGAAAUGCGUAGAGAUCGGGAGGAACAUCAGUGGCGAAGGCGGCCACCUGGGACAACACUGACGCUGAGGCACGAAAGCGUGGGGAGCAAACAGGAUUAGAUACCCUGGUAGUCCACGCCCUAAACGAUGCGAACUGGAUGUUGGUCUCAACUCGGAGAUCAGUGUCGAAGCUAACGCGUUAAGUUCGCCGCCUGGGGAGUACGGUCGCAAGACUGAAACUCAAAUGAAUUGACGGGGUCAUAGCUGUUUCC